Non-coding RNA from Peromyscus maniculatus bairdii (prairie deer mouse), 1717 nucleotides. The record is from RefSeq and is a predicted model, not a curated record. NCBI's taxonomy places the organism in Eukaryota, Metazoa, Chordata, Mammalia, Rodentia, Cricetidae.
UUUACUUCUCAACAGGUAAUCACGUUCUUUGGCGCAGGCGCAGAGGCAGGGGACUCAGGCAGUCCUUAGAGAAUGAACCACGAUUGGUCCAAGCCAACCGCUGUUAGACUCCUGCGCUCAGUGGAAGUGAUGAUUCUGGCAAUCCAGGGCUCAAAGUGGCUUGCCGUCUGAGAAAGAUCCACAAGAGAGAACAUUGCUGCUCUGACCAACUUCCAUGCUGAUUCUGGAGUGGCCCAGCGAGGACCCUGCAAAUGCCUUCUGACCUGGGCCGUGGAAGGGAGACGAUACAACGGCAGUGGAGAACUCAAGGUCAGGUUUGAGCUCCUGCCUCCACUGUGUGAGUGCCGAGUUCUCCGCGUCUGUGAUUCUCCAUCCCACGAUCCCGGAGGCUCAAUCACCAUUAGCCGGGCUGUGUGUAGUAGGCGACUCUGACCCACGAGAGACAGUGCCCUCCGGUAUUUGGGCUCAUUCUGUCGGAAAAGCUGCCGGGGUGCUCUGACAACCUGAGGAGUGAUGUCAGAUUUAAUUUGGCUGCAAGGGCUUUGCAAACCUGAGGUGCGACAUAUUCCAGAACCUGAGUAACUGUUGUUGUUAUUGUCCUUUCCCCGAGAUUACAGCUUCGCAAGCAUUGUUUACGACCUUGGGUCUAGUCCCUAUGCCCCAGUGAAGGAUGACUGGUUGGCUGUGUUGACACUGAUGUCCCAUGAUUCUCUGAGGGUGAAGACUUCAGAACAAGGAAGGGGAAGGAAAGGAAUCAAAAACAUCUCACCUUAUAUGUAGUCUGGGUACAAUUUAAAUACCCACAUGUGUUGUCCCCCUUGUCACCUAACUGGCACAACAGUGAUGAGGUCACAUGCUUGUGUCUCUGUAUUAACUGCAAUGGUUUUUUUUUUUUUCUUCUGCAAGUAUGAGAUAUCCCAACUUGAGACCAUGUGACGGAGAAGCCCAGAGAGUGGGAGAGCUUCAGGCACAUCUGGAUCCAGGUGUUCAUAUCACGGAAUGAGGAUGCAGUCUCCAAGUUUUCACUUCAUCUUAGCUGAAAGGUGGAGAAGAAAUCAGCUGCUGUUUAUUUUUCCCGUGUGGAACCCAGGGCCUCACACAUGGUAGGAAGUGCUCUACCACUGAGCCCCAGGCAUGUGUUUGACUGUUUAAUGAGAUUGAGUCUUAUUAAUUUCAUGGGCAGGCCUUGAGCAUUCAGUCUCUCAUCUCGGCCUCCCAAGUAGCUGGGAUGAUAGGCCUGCACCACACAGCCUGACUAAUCUCCAGUUUUAAUUUUACUUGUGCCUGGUUUUGAACUCUACACUGGGAGAUCCUUCCAGCUUUCCAGAAUUACUAACUGUUGAGCCAACAGUUCCAACUCCAUGCAAAGACAGCUCAUUUUUCUCAAGAACACCAACAGACCUUUGGUGAAUUCCAGGACAGGCAGGACUACAGAGAGAAACUUUGUUCCAAAAAACUGACAACAACAAAAAGUCAAGGAAAUGGUCCUGGGCUUAAAUUAGGUGAUUUCUGUAAAAUGAGGUGAAUACAGAGAGCAUGUGUACAAGUCACAAGCACUUAGUUGAUUGUUCUUUGUUAUAAUAAUCCAUCAGUUAAUAUUACAUUUCUUAGGUUGUUUUUUGUUUGGUUUGCUCUGACUUUUGGUUUUUUUGAGUCAGGGUUUCUUUGUGUAGCCCUGGCUGUCUUGGAACUCACUCAGUAGACCUGGCUGGCCUCA